GAGUCGAUCCUAAGCCAACUGUGAAAGCAGUGACAUCCCGACAAAGGGGCGUAUUACGUGUACUGCACUUACACCCCUGCACGCACACUAUGGCAAACUCGGUCUGGCUGUCUGGAAAAGGAACCCGCGGACGCACAGUGAUCACAUAAAAGUGUGGGUGAGUCCGCGGGGGAGGCAUUGGUGUUCUGGUUACGCUCAAAAGCGUUGCUCAAAGGAAUGAGCGUGUGUGUUGCAGGUGCGCGUGAGUUGCGAUGUCCCCUGCGUCUGGUUCUAUGUCUGGCGAAAGGGAAUGGGGACUUUGUUCCUUGACCGGUCCCGGCACCCUCGAUAGGCUUUGCCAAUCAAUGGUCCAUGCAAAUGGAACCAGGCCACAGCCGCCGGCAGUCGCC
This 389-nucleotide ribosomal RNA is filed under the name Niphargus sp. Its description in RNAcentral is "partial large subunit ribosomal RNA". The record is from RNAcentral. Lineage: Eukaryota; Metazoa; Arthropoda; Malacostraca; Amphipoda; Niphargidae.